AUUGAACGCUGGCGGCAUGCCUUACACAUGCAAGUCGAACGGUAACAGGGAGCUUGCUCCGCUGACGAGUGGCGAACGGGUGAGUAAUAUAUCGGAACGUGCCCUAGAGUGGGGGAUAACUAGUCGAAAGAUUAGCUAAUACCGCAUACGAUCUAAGGAUGAAAGUGGGGGAUCGCAAGACCUCAUGCUCGUGGAGCGGCCGAUAUCUGAUUAGCUAGUUGGUAGGGUAAAAGCCUACCAAGGCAUCGAUCAGUAGCUGGUCUGAGAGGACGACCAGCCACACUGGGACUGAGACACGGCCCAGACUCCUACGGGAGGCAGCAGUGGGGAAUUUUGGACAAUGGGCGCAAGCCUGAUCCAGCAAUGCCGCGUGAGUGAAGAAGGCCUCGG
RNAcentral lists this ribosomal RNA (390 nucleotides) under uncultured bacterium. Its description in RNAcentral is "bacterial SSU rRNA". It matches the Rfam family "Bacterial small subunit ribosomal RNA", at positions 30 to 420 of the family's 1533-position model. The record is from RNAcentral.